UUUCUUCUUUUCCAGAUUUUUGCAUGAGAUCUUUCCUAAGUUUUUGCAUGUUUGGAUGAUGACAACAAUGUAAUUGGUUAUUUAGUUUAAAAGUUGUGAAUUCGUAUUUAAAUUGCUGCUCCUGAAUAGCAAGUGGUAUGUUUGAGAUUUGGGUUUCGGUUGGUGAAAGAAUAGCAGAAACAUUACAGAGAUGUGUUUUUUCGUGAGAUUGCAUGCAUUUGCAUGAAAAUGUUUUCCAGAAAUUGCACUUUGACCCCCCAAGUCUACCCUUAUGCCACUAUGGCCCAAGUAAUUGGAACAUUUAAUCAAUUUGAUCCCUCUAAGUUUCUCUUUGUGCCGCAAUAGCCCAAGCAUGUUUUAGUAUCUUGCAAUUAAGUCCUAAAAUCAUUGCAACUUCAAUCAUUGUUUGGCUCUUUCUUUAUUUUUGGAAUCUUUGAAGUGCUUAAACGAUUUAUUUGGACUUGAAUGUUUGAGUAAUGCUUGUUUUGGGUCAUUAGUAGAUGCUAUAUUUAGAAAUUGAACGGGUUAUUCCGCUUUCUUGGUCUUUAAGCAUUUUUUGAGCUCAUUCAAGUUGCAAUUAGGUGGGUUUUGAUGUUUUUGCUUAUACUUUACUUUUAAAUUGAUGCCUUGACCCCUUUAUUGUUUUGAAGUCAUUUUCCCUCAUUUGCUUACCAUUAGGGGAAGGUAUAAUUUCUUUUAUCUUUUUAGUCUCUCCUAUGUGAUCCAAUGUGCUAAGUGAAUUGCAUGACUACUUUGCUUUCUUUACAUUUCUUAAAUUCCUUUCAUUCCUUUCAUUUACUUUUUGCUUUAUUAAGUUUUUUCUUUUAUGGGGUAUGUGUACACCUCUUGGCUUGUAAUAGAUAGGGUUUGAAGGAGCAUUCGAUGAAGAGCUGUUGAAGACUUGUGCCUAGCUAGCAAAUGUAAUAGUUAGGGCCUUAAUCACCUUAUGUGUCUUGCAUGUCUAUGUGCUAUAUGUUUAAUCGUUUUCUUAGGUUUUGGCAUUUAGAUAUGCAUGCUAAGUGUUAUGUGCUAUGUGAUCGACAUGUCUACUCGCUUUCCAUAUCCUUGAAUGAAUGUGAUGAAUGUACGUUUCCACUAGUCCAACGCUAGUCGGAAUUCAUAGAAUGGGCUAGUCCAACGCUAGACCCUUAGGGAUUUCCCCUCGU
This 1166-nucleotide long non-coding RNA is filed under the name Coffea arabica (coffee). RNAcentral's name for it is "long non-coding RNA (CARA_LNC002929)". Lineage: Eukaryota; Viridiplantae; Streptophyta; Magnoliopsida; Gentianales; Rubiaceae. The record is from RNAcentral.